Molecule: long non-coding RNA, 715 nt
Organism: Scatophagus argus
Lineage: Eukaryota; Metazoa; Chordata; Actinopteri; Scatophagidae
Exons: 3
Source: RefSeq, a predicted model, not a curated record
UGUGCUCUCCUUGGGACGUGUGGUCAGUUUGUGUCUGUGUCCUUCCUUGCUGUCUCUGCAUUUCCUGUGUUUGCUUUGUCUGUGGAUUAUUCCUUGUUUGGACUUGUUUGGAUUCCUAGCUGCUUUUUGUUUGCUCCUGCUCCAUUUUGAGUUUUGCUGUGGAGGUUCCGUCUAAGGCCAAACUGAGGGUGACGACAGGCCUACUGGCUCCGGUGAUGUGCACUACGUGUCAUUUCCUCUGAGAGAUUUCUCGCCUCAGCUGGUUGGAAAGAUGACCUGAAACUGAGAGAAGAAAACAACAAAUGGCGAACGAGGGAGAAAGCAAGAGAAAAGAGGACAGAAAGGUCACAGUGAUCUUGGAGCAACGGAGAGAGAGAGAGGGAGGAAGAGGGAGAAGGAGACAGAGACUGUGAGAUACUGUUGUGUUGGUAAAUAAAGGACAUGAGAAAUGGUAAAGUAAUUCUUUUUUGGGACGGCCUUCGCUCUAGUCAAAACAGCCUGGACAAGCUCCUGGUUUAAAGACUGGUUGGUCACUGAAAUGAAUCGUAAUGCUGGUUCUUCUCAGAAUGCAGACAAAAUCUGUAGUCCUUCUUUUGUUUUGGAAGUCAAGCUGAAGUUAAUCUUCACCCUGUUAGUCGCUUAAUUUCCUGUAAAUCCUCCAUUGUAGCUUAGCAAAAACACAGUCCACGAAAACAUAAAUGGAGGAAUUUGUACA